CAAUAGAAGCCGCGGAGAAGCUGGGAACAAGAUCUGAACCGUUAAUAAUGGUAGUGAUGAACUGCUUACCCGAUUCUGCCAACUCCCAUGUCAUACAAGCAGCUACACCCAUACAAGUAAUUGUAAAUACAACAGGAUGAUAAAAGAAAAAGGGAAUCUGAACGAAGGAGGAAGUUGGCAAACCUGGGGCAAAUGUGAUGCAAGUGCUAGAGGAGAACUCCGUUUGCUCUCGAAGAAUAUAUGUUAAUAAAGCAGCGGUUCCACCACCAAGAGAAUGACCAACAAUCUGAAAUAUCAAAAUCUAAGAAUUAGAAAUGUACUUUACAUGGAAAGUAGAUAAAGAAUAAAAAUCAGAGUAUUGUUCUUGAUUUUGUAAUUCAUAAGUACUUGGUUUGUACAUCUUUUUAGCAUAGGUUAUCUUUUACUUCUUACUUCGACUUUGACCGUCUUAGAAGUCUCAUCUUAAACUAGGAAAGAUCAGGUGGACGAUGAUGAUCUAUCUUUUCAUGAUUUAAAUUUAACCUCAUCUCAUCAUCAUGCUUAUGUUGAAGACAAACAGAUAAUCAUUUCUUGGAAUAUGUAUGUAUCAAAAGUGUUUUCACUUGAAGAUCUUAA
Long non-coding RNA from Cucumis sativus (cucumber), 615 nucleotides. RefSeq lists it as uncharacterized. The transcript has 2 exons. NCBI's taxonomy places the organism in Eukaryota, Viridiplantae, Streptophyta, Magnoliopsida, Cucurbitales, Cucurbitaceae. The record is from RefSeq and is a predicted model, not a curated record.